AUGGAAUCCCUCACCAUGCUAGUUAGUUGGAACAUUUGGAAUGAGAGGAACACUCGUGUGUUCCAUCACGAGUCAACACCAGCACCGAUCAUCUUUGGCAUCAUCAAAAGGCAAGCUAGGCUAUGAGUUACCGUGGGUGCAAAAAAAAUGGGUAACAUAAUGCAAGGAAAGUAA
Molecule: ribosomal RNA, 174 nt
Filed under: Triticum aestivum (bread wheat)
Lineage: Eukaryota; Viridiplantae; Streptophyta; Magnoliopsida; Poales; Poaceae
Description: partial small subunit ribosomal RNA
Source: RNAcentral